RNAcentral lists this ribosomal RNA (404 nucleotides) under Fusobacteriota bacterium. RNAcentral's name for it is "Fusobacteria bacterium partial 16S ribosomal RNA". It matches the Rfam family "Bacterial small subunit ribosomal RNA", at positions 355 to 776 of the family's 1533-position model. Lineage: Bacteria; Fusobacteriati; Fusobacteriota. The record is from RNAcentral.
UGGGGAAUAUUGCACAAUGGAGGGAACUCUGAUGCAGCGACGCCGCGUGAGUGAUGAAGGAAUUCGUUUCGUAAAACUCUGUUCUAUGGGAAGAAAAGGACUGUACUAUAGGAGAAAGCUCCGGCUAAAUACGUGCCAGCAGCCGCGGUAAUACGUAUGGAGCGAGCGUUGUCCGGAAUUAUUGGGCGUAAAGGGUGCGCAGGCGGCUUUACAAGUUGGAUGUGAAAUAUUGUGGCUCAACCACAAACGUGCAUCCAAAACUGCAAAGCUUGAAUUAAGUAGAGGUAAGUGGAAUUCCUGGUGUAGCGGUGGAAUGCGUAGAUCUCAGGAAGAAUACCGGUGGCGAAGGCGACUUACUGGACUUAAACUGACGCUCAGGCACGAAAGCGUGAGGAGCAAACAGG